AUUGAACGCUGGCGGCAUGCUUUACACAUGCAAGUCGAACGGUAGAGGGGGCAACCCCUUGAGAGUGGCGAACGGGUGAGUAAUGCAUCGGAACGUGCCCAGUCGUGGGGGAUAACGCAGCGAAAGCUGUGCUAAUACCGCAUACGAUCUCUGGAUGAAAGCGGGGGACCGAAAGGCCUCGCGCGAUUGGAGCGGCCGAUGUCAGAUUAGGUAGUUGGUGGUGUAAAGGCUCACCAAGCCAACGAUCUGUAGCUGGUCUGAGAGGACGACCAGCCACACUGGGACCGGGACACGGCCCAGAGUCCUACGGGAGGCAGCAGUGGGGAAUUUUGGACAAUGGGCGCAAGCCUGAUCCAGCAAUGCCGCGUGCAGGAAGAAGGCCUUCGGGUUGUAAACUGCUUUUGUACGGAACGAAAAGGUUUGGGUUAAUACCCUGGGCCGAUGACGGUACCGUAAGAAUAAGCACCGGCUAACUACGUGCCAGCCGCCGCCGUAA
RNAcentral lists this ribosomal RNA (496 nucleotides) under uncultured bacterium. RNAcentral describes it as "partial 16S ribosomal RNA". It matches the Rfam family "Bacterial small subunit ribosomal RNA", at positions 30 to 523 of the family's 1533-position model. The record is from RNAcentral.